AUCUGGUAGCACAGCUGGAUUAGAAAAUUUUUCCAAUUCAUCUAUUCUGACCUCAAAUUUGAAAUUCACUUUGAAUUUUCACUCUAGUGAAUAACCCUGCAUGUGUUUUAUCAAGAUCUGAUAAAUAGACAUGAUUGUGAAAACAUUGGGAAGCCUAUUCACUUCAUGAACAAUUGUUGGAGGAAGAGUUGUAAGAUUCUAAUGUAAUUGCAUUUAACCCCUUAAGGACCAAACUUUUGGAAUAAAAGGGAAUAAUGACAUGUCACACAUUUCACGUGUCCUUAAA
Non-coding RNA from Pelobates cultripes (western spadefoot toad), 286 nucleotides. Lineage: Eukaryota; Metazoa; Chordata; Amphibia; Anura; Pelobatidae. The record is from the annotation of a GenBank genome assembly.